GGUUCGAUUCUGGCCUGAUUGAAUGCUGGCGGAUGUCUUACACAUGCGAAGAACGGCAAUGGGACUUCGGUCUGGAACAGAAGAAAGCGGCGAACGGGUGAUAAUGGUCCUGAAACGUGCUCUAGUAAAUGGGGAUAACUACGCGAAAAAUGCAGCUGACAUCGCACACACCUUCGUAGUGUUGGGGAUCCGUACUUCGCACUAUUAGAGCUGCUGAUAUCGGAUUAGCUAGUUGGUGGGGUAACGGCUCACUAAGGCGGACAUCCGCAGCUGUUCGAGAGGACGACCAGCCACAUCAAACAGGAGACACGGCCCAGACUACCUGGAGGCAGCAGGGUAGGGAAUUUGGACAACAAGAACCCUGAUCCAGCCAUCCCGCGUGAUGAAGGCCUUGCCAAAAGCACUUUGGCAGGAGGCGAAAAGCAUAACGGGAUAACACCGUGCAACUGAUGGUACCAUAAGAAUUAAUCGGCUAACUGCUGCGCCGCAGCCAGCGGUACAUUGCUGUGAGGUGCAAGCGUUAAUCUGAAUUUAUCAAUGGCAGGCGUUCGGGAAAGAAAGACGCAGAAAAUCCCAGAGGCCCAACUCGGGAACUGUAUUUUAUCCACUGAGCUAGAGUGUGUCAGAGGGAGGUGGAAUUCGCGUGUAGCGGGUGAAAAUGCAAUGCGUAGAUAGCGGAGGAACACCACGGCGGCGCAGCCUCUGAUAACACUGACGCCUGGCACGAAAGCGUGGGGAGCAAACAGGAUUAUUACCCGUAGUCCACGCCCAAACGAUGUCAACUAGCUGUUGGGGCCUUCGCCUUGGUAGCGCGCUAACGCGGUGAAGUUGACCGCCUGGGGAGUACGGUCGCAAGAUUAAACUCAACAAUUGACGGGGAUCCGCAUCACAGAUGAUGAUUAACUGAUGCAACGCGAAAAACCACUUGGCCUCUUGACAUGUCUGAAUCCCGAAGAGAUUGGGAGUGCUCGUAAGAGAACCGGAACACAGGUGCGUAUGGCUGUUGCCAGCUCGUGUCGUGAGAUGUUGGGUUAAGUCCCGCAACGAGCGUAACCCUUGCUGUCAUUGCUACGAAAGGGUGAAUUAAUGAUCGCGCAGAUAAACUGAGGAAGGUAAAGAUGACGUCAAGUCCUCAUGGCCCUUGCGUCGCGCUUCACACGUCAUACAAUGGUCGGGACAGAGGGUCACAACCCGCGAGGGGGAGCCAAUCCCAGAAACCGAUUCAGAACCGCUGAUCGCAGCCCGCAAACUCGACUGCGUGAAGUCGGAAUCGCUAGUAACGUACGAUCAGCAUGUCGCGGUGAAUACGUUCCUGGGUCUUGUACACACCGCCUGUCACAUCCCAUGGAGUGUGGGUUUCACUAGAAGUAAACGGAAGCCCUAACCAACAAGGAGUGGCGAUUACCACGGCAUAUGAUCUAUGAUCAAUGGAGUUGUAACAAGGUAAU
This 1448-nucleotide ribosomal RNA is filed under the name uncultured Bordetella sp. Its description in RNAcentral is "partial 16S-23S ribosomal RNA intergenic spacer". It matches the Rfam family "Bacterial small subunit ribosomal RNA". Lineage: Bacteria; Pseudomonadati; Pseudomonadota; Betaproteobacteria; Burkholderiales; Alcaligenaceae. The record is from RNAcentral.